UGUCCCUACGGGAGGCAGCAGUGGGGAAUAUUGCACAAUGGGGGAAACCCUGAUGCAGCGACGCCGCGUGAAGGAUGAAGUAUUUCGGUAUGUAAACUUCUAUCAGCAGGGAAGAAAAUGACGGUACCUGACUAAGAAGCCCCGGCUAACUACGUGCCAGCAGCCGCGGUAAUACGUAGGGGGCAAGCGUUAUCCGGAUUUACUGGGUGUAAAGGGAGCGUAGGUGGCAGGGCAAGUCAGAUGUGAAAACCCGGGGCUCAACUCCGGGAGUGCAUUUGAAACUGUCCAGCUAGAGUGCAGGAGAG
Molecule: ribosomal RNA, 305 nt
Filed under: uncultured bacterium
Lineage: Bacteria
Description: bacterial SSU rRNA
Rfam family: Bacterial small subunit ribosomal RNA
Source: RNAcentral